UCUGUUGGUGUCAACUGCAGAUAAACAAUUGAUAAUCUUCACUGAUCCAGCUGUAAGUUGAAUUUCUUUUUUUGACCUUAAUAUUCGGGAUUUUUAACCAGUUAAUGAUUCUUUGAUUUAUCAUCUGCAAUGUUUUUCAGUCCAGUUAGGACAAGUAUGUGCUAUGCAUCUCCAUGCAAAUAUUUGAUUUGAUUAUGUUCAUAGCUUGCUUUUGCUUGUAUUAAAUGGCCAUUGUCGAUUGAUCUUUUCUGGCUGAUAUAAAAUAGUAGUAUUCUUCAACAUGCCUGGCUAUCUUUUGUGUUCUUAAACUUGCUCAAAACAAAGUGUAGUUUUAUAGAAAAUGUUGUGAUGAUGGUAAUAACUAGUAAAAUAAUUCAUGAUGGUUAAGGAGCUGAUAUCGUGAUUGAAAUGCUUAUUAUGAAGUAAACCUUAUCAUGACUAGAUCCAAUUUCUUCUCGCAGUUGAGCUUGAAAGUGG
Molecule: unclassified non-coding RNA, 477 nt
Filed under: Hevea brasiliensis (rubber tree)
Lineage: Eukaryota; Viridiplantae; Streptophyta; Magnoliopsida; Malpighiales; Euphorbiaceae
Source: RNAcentral